Molecule: ribosomal RNA, 449 nt
Filed under: uncultured bacterium
Lineage: Bacteria
Description: partial 16S ribosomal RNA
Rfam family: Bacterial small subunit ribosomal RNA
Source: RNAcentral
AACGAACGCUGGCGGCAGGCCUAACACAUGCAAGUCGAACGCCCUAGCAAUAGGGAGUGGCAGACGGGUGAGUAACACGUGGGAACCUUCCCUAUAGUACGGAAUAGCCCAGGGAAACUUGGAGUAAUACCGUAUACGCCCGAGAGGGGAAAGAUUUAUCGCUAUAGGAUGGGCCCGCGUCGUAUUAGCUAGUUGGUGAGGUAAUGGCUCACCAAGGCAACGAUCCGUAGCUGGUUUGAGAGAAUGGCCAGCCACACUGGGACUGAGACACGGCCCAGACUCCUACGGGAGGCAGCAGUGGGGAAUCUUGGACAAUGGGCGCAAGCCUGAUCCAGCCAUGCCGCGUGAGUGAUGAAGGCCUUAGGGUUGUAAAGCUCUUUUGGCGGGGACGAUAAUGACGGUACCCGCAGAAUAAGUCCCGGCUAACUUCGUGCCAGCCGCCGCCGUAA